Molecule: ribosomal RNA, 303 nt
Filed under: uncultured bacterium
Lineage: Bacteria
Description: partial 16S ribosomal RNA
Rfam family: Bacterial small subunit ribosomal RNA
Source: RNAcentral
AGCAGUCGCCACGGGAAUACGUAGGUGGCAAGCGUUGUCCGGAAUUAUUGGGCGUAAAGGGCUCGCAGGCGGUUUCUUAAGUCUGAUGUGAGAGCCCCCGGCUCAACCGGGGAGGGUCAUUGGAAACUGGGAAACUUGAGUGCAGAAGAGGAGAGUGGAAUUCCACGUGUAGCGGUGAAAUGCGUAGAGAUGUGGAGGAACACCAGUGGCGAAGGCGACUCUCUGGUCUGUAACUGACGCUGAGGAGCGAAAGCGUGGGGAGCGAACAGGAUUAGAUACCCCCGUAGUCCCUGUCUCUUAUAC